Long non-coding RNA from Helianthus annuus (common sunflower), 931 nucleotides. RefSeq lists it as uncharacterized. The transcript has 4 exons. The record is from RefSeq and is a predicted model, not a curated record. NCBI's taxonomy places the organism in Eukaryota, Viridiplantae, Streptophyta, Magnoliopsida, Asterales, Asteraceae.
GAGCUUGUGUUAUAGAAGCAAAGCUCGAAUCAAGCCCAUAUCGGGCUUAGGCUCGGCUCGUUUACGCUCCUAGUUAUAUUUUUAUUAGAUCCUACUUGAAAAUAACAAUCAAUCUUAUUAUCGUUUGGAAGGUUUAGAAGCUAGCUUAGCAUCAGUUUUGGAAUUAAUGGAAUUUGGAAUUAAUGGAAUUUUGGCAAGGCGCAUGGUUCUGAAGCUACCGUAAUGGAGGAGUUUUUUUGGUCGAUGGCGAAGACAGGGCGGAUCUGUGGCGGCAUCUUCGAGUGUUGUACCCCUACCUACAGAACAAAAGACACAAGGUGCCCGGUGAGGAGGCGUGAGCUACGGUUCUGACAAGACUCUAGUUAACUCCGGCAAUAAUUCUCGACUCCGGUGAAUCUCCGGCGACUUCUCCUGUUAACGAUCUGGGUCAGCAUGUUAUUUAACCUUAAAGAUCGAUGGAUGGCCCAUAUCAUCACAGGUGGAUGGCGAAGGCGGUUGCUGCCACCUGUUUGGCUAAUAAGUUGCAAGUGUGAGUUUAUGGGUCAGGGUCAUACUGCUCAUCGUCUAACUUGCAACACUUUUAUAUUAGUAUGAUGAUGAUAAUUGGAGGUGAUGGUUUCGUUGAUGGGCUAAGAGACAUUAGAACUGGCUACGAGUUACAGUUUACUCACUAGUACAGUAACAAUGUCGCCACCAGCCCACGGAUGAAAAUUUGCAAUACUUUCAAAUCCAAAAGUAGUUUACUCACUAGUACAGUAACAAGGUCGCCACCAGCCUUGAAGAAAACAACCUAGAAAUAGCUAUUAGUUUUAGUGUACAUUUGUUUCUCUUUGUAACUCUUGUAGAUAAAUUUUGCUUAGAAGUUUAUGUCUUCUAUUAGUAUUUAAAUUGAAAACUUAUGUAUGGUUUUUUGGUUUGUUUUAUAAAUUGU